GGGGGUGGCAUGAAGGGCAGCAGUUGUCUUGCUGAGGACUGCUCUGCCUGGCUCCAGCUACACACCAGACAGCAGCUGCCACCUUGUCCCUCCUCCCUCCGGUGGGGCAUUCGCAUACUUUAAUGGAUUGUUUUUAUUAAGGCAUCCGGAAAAAAUGCAUGGAUUCAUUCUCCUUCUGGGAUGCAAACAGAGCUCUCAUGGAUGGCAAUGGAAAGAGGAGACUGGAACCAUGGCUGUUGAGCAGAUAAAGAUCAACUGGGAACGGAUAAAACCUCAAAUCCAUUGGGGACGCGUCUUCAACCACAGCAAAGCCAGCACUAACAGGAGGCGCAAUCAAUCACUCGAGUAGGAGGUGUUAGUGUCUUCACUGGGCAAAUUAUGGAUAUUCAGAAGGAACAAACGUAAAUCAAAUAAAUGCUUCUGGCACAACAACACA
Molecule: long non-coding RNA, 436 nt
Organism: Alligator sinensis (Chinese alligator)
Lineage: Eukaryota; Metazoa; Chordata; Crocodylia; Alligatoridae
Exons: 3
Source: RefSeq, a predicted model, not a curated record